ACGGAAGGCAGCAGUUGGGAAUAUUGCACAAUGGGGGAAACCCUGAUGCAGCGACGCCGCGUGAGGGAAGAAGGUUUUCGGAUUGUAAACCUCUGUCCUAGGGGACGAAAAAAUGACGGUACCCUGGGAGGAAGCUACGGCUAACUACGUGCCAGCAGCCGCGGUAAAACGUAGGUGGCAAGCGUUGUCCGGAAUUACUGGGUGUAAAGGGAGCGCAGGAGGGCUUGCAAGUCGAAUGUGAAAUUUAUGGGCUCAACCCAUAAACUGCGUUCGAUACUGUAGGUCUUGAGUGAUGUAGAGGUAGGCGGAAUUCCCGGUGUAGCGGUGGAAUGCGUAGAUAUCGGGAGGAACACCAGUGGCGAAGGCGGCCUACUGGGCAUUUACUGACUCUGAGGCUCGAAAGCGUGGGUAGCAAACAGGAUUAGAUACCCUGGUA
This 436-nucleotide ribosomal RNA is filed under the name uncultured Oscillospiraceae bacterium. RNAcentral describes it as "bacterial SSU rRNA". It matches the Rfam family "Bacterial small subunit ribosomal RNA", at positions 341 to 792 of the family's 1533-position model. Lineage: Bacteria; Bacillati; Bacillota; Clostridia; Eubacteriales; Oscillospiraceae. The record is from RNAcentral.